UGACUGUUGUCACGUUUGGUGGCU
Molecule: non-coding RNA, 24 nt
Filed under: Rattus norvegicus (Norway rat)
Lineage: Eukaryota; Metazoa; Chordata; Mammalia; Rodentia; Muridae
Source: RNAcentral